GGCUAUUAGGGUACUGUUUGACAAGUCCUAAAAUAAGUCAUUUAGAUUGAUGUAGAGAGGCAUUUAUAACGGCAAUAACAUUAACUAGCCCUUAGGAUAGCUGCUUAUCCUAUUGAUCGUUGCAGGGGGUCUGGAGUCUAUCCUGGAAUCUGUGGGUGCAAGGCAGGGAACAACCCAGGCGGGUCGGACCAAAGAACAGGAGCGAAAUUCUGGAACACAAGCGAGGAAUCUGCCUCAAAUAUGCCGCCUGCAGCUUGAAGAUCUGGCUCCCUCCUUCCUGCCUCUCUCACCUUCUCCCGCGAGCAGUCUGGGAUGCUGGUCCUCUUUUCCAUCCUGAUGAUAACACCCUUUCUGGGAACGCCACAGCACAGCCCAGAGCAGCGACGUUAAUGAUCCCGGCAGAGAGCCGACUUACUCGUCACCCACAUACCUCCAUCUGUACUUGGGGCCCCCCCGACGCGGGAAGACCGGCCAAUCCCAGGCCAGACUGAAGCAACACCGCAUGCCUGCCGAGUUACGCUACAGAAAACUGAGACGCGGAAGAGUAGUCUGCCACAGCAGGACA
This is a long non-coding RNA of Brienomyrus brachyistius, 565 nucleotides long. RefSeq lists it as uncharacterized. The transcript has 3 exons. The record is from RefSeq and is a predicted model, not a curated record. NCBI's taxonomy places the organism in Eukaryota, Metazoa, Chordata, Actinopteri, Osteoglossiformes, Mormyridae.